AACAGAAGGAGGCAUUAUGGUAUAAAUCAUUGAAUUUCCUUUCCGUUCAGUUUAUUAGACCUGCAACAAGACAGACAAGUCUGGAUUUAGUGCCCUUAUCACACCAUGUGAUGGGCAUACACUGAGUGGCAGCUUCGUGCUCAUUGGCCCAAAUAACUGAACAGUACACAGUAUGGAUAAAACUUAUAAGCAUGCAUUCUUGGCCAAGACAUUUAGCUCAUGUGUGAGCAAACAACAGCAUGGGGACAAGACUGAUUGUGAUUGUGAUUCCAUCUUGUCGGACAUAAAGAUCUGGGAAGUACUGAAAAGAGAGAAAAAAAGGACUGAGACAUCAGCAGUCCGGCACCGAGAAACAAAAAAAAAGGCCCAAUAACAAGCCCGUGCAUCAGUUUCAGGAUCAAUGCUGAAAUUUGUUACAAAAGAGGAUGAAGCGGUUCUCUCAAGCACUGCUCCAGAGGGACCCAGCAGCUGCACAAUCACUGACAGUGGCCUCAACUCUUAAUCUUCAGUCUGGCAAAAGUUCCAUGAGCAAAGAGGAACCAUCACUCAAUAAAGAAGUAGAAACUGAUGUGGUGUUCGCUUCGAGGACUCUGCCAGUUGAUCCUUCUCUCUGGCUUUGUUUGUACCUUGUGGAGCACAUUCAAUGAAUCUUGUGAUAGCAGAUUCAGCCAAGGCAUCUAAGGAUGCUGUUGGCUACUUUGGUUAUGUGCAGAAACAUUUUUUUUCAGGAUCUACACAACGACGGAACAUCUUGUUGAAGCAUGUCCAUCUCACAUUGAAGUCUUGGAGUGAUGUUAGAUGGGAAGCAUUACAGCUGUCAGACACCGAGUGAAGGAAAUAAGAAAUGCUCUCAUUGAGGCAAGGCAAACUGUGAAUGAUCCAGUAGCCAAAGUAGAGGCUCAAGCCCUGGCAGAAGAAGUGGCUUCAUUCAGGUUUCUUAUAUGCACUUUUGUAUGGUCUUAACAAAUAUUAACCAGGUGAACAAGAUGCUUCAGUCUAGUUCAAUGCAACCGGAUGUUGCUGUUGGACUCAUUAACAAUUUUCAACAGUGUUGUGGACUCUGCUUUGGCAUCACUUCAAGAGAGAUUUGAAAUUUUUACUCAGGUCAAAGAGAGAUUUGGAGUUCUGCUUG
Long non-coding RNA from Carassius gibelio (silver crucian carp), 1132 nucleotides. RefSeq lists it as uncharacterized. The transcript is spliced from 3 exons. Lineage: Eukaryota; Metazoa; Chordata; Actinopteri; Cypriniformes; Cyprinidae. The record is from RefSeq and is a predicted model, not a curated record.